RNAcentral lists this ribosomal RNA (538 nucleotides) under uncultured bacterium. RNAcentral describes it as "partial 16S ribosomal RNA". The record is from RNAcentral.
GGAGUUAGCCGGUGCUUCUUCUGUGAGUGAUGUCCUUCCUGCCGGCUAUUAACCCGCAGGCCUUCUUCCUCACUGAAAGUGCUUUACAACCCGAAGGCCUUCUUCACACACGCGGCAUGGCUGGAUCAGGGUUGCCCCCAUUGUCCAAUAUUCCCCACUGCUGCCUCCCGUAGGAGUCUGGGCCGUGUCUCAGUCCCAGUGUGGCUGAUCAUCCUCUCAGACCAGCUACGGAUCGUCGCCUUGGUGAGCCGUUACCUCACCAACCAGCUAAUCCGACAUAGGCUCAUCCGAUAGCGCGAGGCCCGAAGGUCCCCCGCUUUCCCCCGUAGGGCGUAUGCGGUAUUAGCCUGGGUUUCCCCAGGUUAUCCCCCACUACCGGGCAGAUUCCUAUGCAUUACUCACCCGUCCGCCGCUCGCCACCAGGGAGCAAGCUCCCCGUGCUGCCGCUCGACUUGCAUGUGUUAGGCCUGCCGCCAGCGUUCAAUCUGAGCCAGGAUCAAACUCGACUCGAGCGGCGGUGGCGACGGACGGCGACUAG